RNAcentral lists this unclassified non-coding RNA (1615 nucleotides) under Hevea brasiliensis (rubber tree). The record is from RNAcentral. Lineage: Eukaryota; Viridiplantae; Streptophyta; Magnoliopsida; Malpighiales; Euphorbiaceae.
AUACAAGCACGUGCAAGAAACCCUUGCAGAUCGACCAAACUUCAGCGCUUCAUCUUGUAUUUGUGUGGCAAGCUCUCGCGUUGGAGAUAAAACCACCACUGUCGGGCCAUUUUGAGGAUUGUUGCGCCGCCGUUUAAGGUGGACAAAUGCAGGAAUUAGAUAGCCCAAUGUUUUGCCAGAACCUGUCUUGGCAAUGGCCACUAUAUCCCUAUUUUGCAAUGCUAUGGGCCAUGUUUGUGCCUGAAUGGGAGUGGGUGAAGUGAAUCCCGCAAACUGAAUCUCUCUUAGUAUUUCUGGCGGGAACCCAGUAUCUUCAAAUGUCAUGAAUGGAGCAGGGACAUCACCACCUGUUGCAGUUACUUCAUGCUUCUGAAGGUAAACCUCAACGGAUGAUGGAUGCAUCGAUCCUGGAGGUCCAGUGAGUGCUCCAGGUGGCCGCAUGAGGCUAGAAUUUGAAAAUGGAGGUCCACCAGCUGCUUGACCAUAGAUAUUUUGCAUCGGAGGACCACCCAUGCUAUUGAACCCACUAGGAAGAGUUGGUACUGGAUUUUGAAGCGGAGGAUCACCCAUUCUCAUUUCAUGCUGAUUUCUUGCUACAGGUAUAGCUGCAAGCUUGGGUUGCUGAGGCGGAGGCCUAAUUCGACUAUCCAUAUUACUGUUGUAAUAAUAGUCAUUUCCUCCUCUUCCGGGUGUGUUUUCCUCAUAACCCUUUGAUCCAACUGGGGGUAUAUCAAGCUCAUGACCAUGUGCCGUACUUGAGCCCAUCUGACCGGGAAAGCGAGGACCAGGCGGCCUCUGACCUGAAUCAUUUGUAUUUUGCUGCCAUUGACCCAAAGAUGAUGGUUGUUGGACAUUUACAGAAGAACCGCCAAACUGCAAAGCUUGAGAAGGCUGAGCAGACAUCUGAGGUCUGAUAACAGAACCAGUCCCCACUUGCGGAUUCUGAGCAGAUGAUGCACCAGUUUGCUGAACUUGUUGUGGCGAAAACCUAACUUGUUUACCUUGGGGGAAAUCAACAUCUUCCCUUUGCUGAAAUCCCACCUUAUGCUCUUGUUGAUGGGAAAACUGUUGAUUUUGCGGAACGUGCUGAUUUUGCUGCUGUGGAAUUAGCUGUCCCUGUGGAGGCAAAUUAUGUGGAUACGCAACAUGCUGUGCCUGCUGAUGAGAAAAUUGAUAACCAUGUGGUUGUCCCAUUUGUACACUUGGAAAUGCUUGUGCUUGGGAGCCUAGUUGUUGUGGCAUCAUUUGUUGUGCUGCAGGUUGAGAAACAUGUGGCCCUGGCUGAUUAGGAGUUUGUCCCAUUUGCGAUGGCAUCUGAUGAACAGGUUGCUGGAUCAUUUGAGACCGAAGUUGUGGCAUAAAGGACACCUGUUGCAUGGCAGGACCAGCUGGUGAUCCUUGUUGCUGCCCUGCUGAAACACCUUGUGAUCCAUGUGGUACCUGUUGAGCUACUUGUGGAUGUUGUGACAUGUGUGUCAUUUGGCCUUGUUGAGCAAACGCCUGUUGGUUCUGUUGACCUUGACUAUCAUAUUGUUGCACUGUGCUAGCUCCUGGUAUAGGAGCCAACUUAGGAGCAGAAGCUUCCGGAGGUGGACCAGGCGGCAGUGGAGGUGGU